UUAUUGUAUGUCAGUGUGGUUUUGUCUCUGUGCACACACACUUCCUGUUUGGUUUGUGUUGUUGCUCUUUAUUCUUUUCGAGUUGAAAAAGUUGGACAAAAUAGUAUUAAUUGUACUGUGAUGGCAUCAACAUAUAUUUUCAGUUGAAAAUACGUUACCCAUUCUCUCGAUUAUAACUAUUUGAUGCGUUUAUUGCGGAAUAUUCCGUUACAAACUAUCUAGAUAUUUACAUUAUUGUUUCCAGCACCCAUUUAAUUGAAGGCGACAGAGUGAGUGUGGUGCGUGAUUGCUGGUCGUGCGCUGUGAUUGGCCAGAACUUUGACCAAUGUCCUGGUCUGGUUCCAGUGUUGUCACCAUGGCAGAAUAUGUGCGCGCGGUAGGUUCGGGAAAACGCAAUUAUCAGAGUAAAUAAGUUAAUCUCCCAGCCCUACUUUAACUUCACUAGUGUUGGAAAACGACGCAAACUAUAGGGACAGCUAUAAAUGAAGGGGUGAAAACCCUUUUGCAGAGUUGACAGCAUUUACCAUUUAAAUAGCUACCGUCUGUUAGCCAACGGAUGACGUCGAAAUUAGCCUGCCCGAAGCUUUAUUUUAUUGGGUCAAGUUUCUCUGACUCGCUCAACUAAAGUUAAUGCUGUUCGCGGCCCUCCUCAAACAAACACAACACCGUACUGCAGUAACUCGAACACUAUUUCCAGAUCACAGAUGCUGAACUCAAACCACAUAACCACUUACCGUAAAGUACACACGUAAGAGAAUACAUUCCAUGGAGGUGCAGCUGCAACAUCUGCCCCCUGCAACUACUCUGAAGGUCUUAAGAAAUCGAUGGACGUCGUCCGUCAGUUCGAGUGAAAAAAUUGUGAACGGGCUCUCGGAGGUCGGGCUAAGAGUCAGCGGUGGCACAAGGAUCAAGCAUCAAGUCGUGAAUGUUAAAAGGAGAGCCGAACAAUGUCAAAAUACACAAAUGAUCUUUGACACAAAGGGUGAAAUUAAGUGCGAGAAAUUGCCAGGGUGUCUGUGAAAAGGAGGAUUAGAGUGAAUGGAGAAGCAGAGAUGGGAUUUAAAGGGGGCGCUAGAAAAUGAGAGGCAGCAACUGUCCUCCUGAAAUCCUCUGUGUCUACGAGCGGGAAGUGCUUUGAUGUUUUAUCUACAAAGUGACAAAGGCACAGACAGCAGAGUGAGCGGCUGUAGCAGCCAAAUGUACUGUAGGGGGAUUCAGGCAGCAGUGACAGGAAGAGGAAGAGGGGUGGGAGGGAGAUGGAGAGAGAGACAGAGAAGGAGAGAGAGAAACAGAAAUACGAAAACACUGAGAAGAAAAAAAAGAGUGAGGAAAAGUAAGCUGACAACUAGACAAAAGACCAGCAGCAUUAUUGAUGUGGGCCUGAAAAGUGGAAGAAAUGCUCAGAAAGAAUGAAGAGGGGUGUCUGUUAUUAUGGUGCUGCAGUGGUGACGGUGGUUAAUGCAGCAUGGUGUGACGUCAGCCUUGCAGCAGAGCUGAGUCGAACAGCUAAUCUGUCCCCUGUGUCCUGGGAAAUGAAUUGCAAUGUUGUAAUUACAACAUGUGAGUCUGCAGUGUCAGCGGCAGAGAACAAAAAAAUGUUAUCAAAGCUAAAGGUUGUGAGUUAAAAAAAAAAAUACAAUUAAACCAAUAUUUGACAACCAAAAGAAUGUGUUUAGUAAUGUUUGCAAAGCGUGUUGGAACUUAAUGCCCAGGUCAGACAUUAGGCUUGUGACGCAAAGGGCAGGAAAUAAGCCUAUGUCAAAGUUUUCAUUAUAUCAUAUUAUUUCAAUUUAAUUAUACAUUUUUUUUCUGUACAUGAUUUUUUUUUUCGUGA
Long non-coding RNA from Cynoglossus semilaevis (tongue sole), 1834 nucleotides. RefSeq lists it as uncharacterized. The record is from RefSeq and is a predicted model, not a curated record. The transcript has 3 exons. NCBI's taxonomy places the organism in Eukaryota, Metazoa, Chordata, Actinopteri, Pleuronectiformes, Cynoglossidae.